CGCGCACACCGCCGACGCGCGACCAACACCCCACCCGCCCACAGACACCCACAAACCCGCCGUCGUCGUAGAAGUCGGGAGUCCGGGCUGGGGGGUAAGCUUCUAGUCCGAGAGGGAAACAACCCAGACCGUGGUUAAGGCCCUUAAAUGUCGGCUAAGUGUAAUUAAAAGGGUGUCCCAGGCCCUAGACAGCUGGGAGGUGAGCUUAGAAGCAGCUAACCUUUAAAAAGUGCGUAACAGCUUACCAGUCGAGGUUUGGGGCCCCGAAAAUGGACGGGGCUCAAGCCGACUGCCGAUACCACGGAGCACGGAAACGUGAUCUGGUAGGAAGGCGUCCUGCGUGGACAGAAGUAGGGCUGUAAAGUCCUGUGGACCGCGCAGGAACGAAGAUCCUGGCAAUAGUAGCAGCAUAGUCGGGUGAGAAUCCCCCGCCGAAAGGGCUAGGUUUCCUCGACAAUGUUCGUCAGUCGAGGGUUAGUCGGUCCUAAGAUACACCGUAAUUCGAGUGUGUCAAAAGGGAAACAGGUUAAUAUUCCUGUACCACGCGACAUUAAAACCUGACGCCUCAGGGUAGUCCGAACAGUGAUGCCAAACUGUCCAAGCGUAUUAAGUCCGCGGAGAACCGUAAUGGUGAGAAACGGACCAAAGCGUGAUGGGGAAACUCGGAUAAUCCCAGGGGCCCGUGAAAAAGGGAGUCGAUGGCCGUACCAAGAUCUGACACAGGUGCCCCUAGUUGAGAAGACUAAGGCGUGUCGGCAUAACCCACCCAAGGGAAAUCGGCAAAUUAGCCCCGUAACUUCGGGAGAAGGGGUGCCUGCUCUGAGAAGAGCAGGUCGCAGUGACUAGGGGGCUCUAACUGUCUAAUAACAACAUAGGUGAUUGCGAACCCGAAAGGGCUAGUACAAUCACUGAAUCCUGCCCAGUGCAGGUACCUGAACAUCCGGUUCAACGGGAAGAAGGGCCUGUCAACGGCGGGGGUAACUAUGACCCUCUUAAGGUAGCGUAGUACCUUGCCGCUUAAUUGGCGGCUUGCAUGAAUGGACCAAUGAGAGCCCUACUGUCCCUGGGUGGAACCCGGUGAACUUUACAUUCCAGUGCAGAGUCUGGAGACCCCUAAUGGGAAGUGAAGACCCCGUGGAGCUUUACUGCAGCCUGUCGCUGGGAUUCGGUUGUGCAUGCGCAGCGUAGGUAGGAGGUGUCGAUCCACCACUUCUGGGUGGUGGGGAGCCUACCCUGAGACACUACCCUUGCACGGCUGUGUCCCUUACCGUGGGAACGGGACCCCGAUAGGUGGGCAGUUUGGCUGGGGCGGCACGCCCUUGAAAAGAUAUCAAGGGCGCCCAAAGGUUGACUCAGGUGGGUCAGAAACCCACCGAAGAGCGUAAGGGCAAAAGUCAGCCUGAUGUGAUUCAGCACAGUAGUGGAUCACAAGACGAAAGUCGGGCCUAACGAACCUUUAUGCCUUAUUGAUGAGGGCUAAAGAUGACAGAAAAGCUACCCCGGGGAUAACAGAGUCGUCACCGGCAAGAGCACAUAUCGACCCGGUGGCUUGCUACCUCGAUGUCGGUUCUUUCCAUCCUGGCCGUGCAGAAGCGGCCAAGGGUGAGGUUGUUCGCCUAUUAAAGGAGAUCGUGAGCUGGGUUUAGACCGUCGUGAGACAGGUCGGUUACUAUCUGUUAGGGGUGUUUGAGGUCUGAGGGGAAGUUGGUUAUAGUACGAGAGGAACUAGCCAACGUGGCCACUGGUCUAUCGGUUGUCUGGCAAGGCAGUGCCGAGCAGCUACGCCAUAAUGGAUAAGAGCUGAAAGCAUCUAAGCUCGAAACCAACCCCGAAAAGAGACAUCUUAAGGACAUCGGUAAAAGACCGGUUUGA
This 1872-nucleotide ribosomal RNA is filed under the name soil metagenome. RNAcentral describes it as "bacterial LSU rRNA". It matches the Rfam family "Archaeal large subunit ribosomal RNA", at positions 987 to 2911 of the family's 2987-position model. The record is from RNAcentral.